RNAcentral lists this ribosomal RNA (454 nucleotides) under uncultured bacterium. Its description in RNAcentral is "bacterial SSU rRNA". It matches the Rfam family "Bacterial small subunit ribosomal RNA", at positions 32 to 519 of the family's 1533-position model. The record is from RNAcentral.
AAUCAACGCUGGCGGCGCGCCUAACACAUGCAAGUCGAGCGAGAAAGGGGCAACCUGAGUAAAGCGGCGUACGGGUGAGUAACACGUGGAUCAUCUACCCUUUUGUGGGGAAUAACUCUGGGAAACCGGAGCUAAUACCGCAUAAGUCCGAGAGGAGAAAGCAGCAAUGCGCAGAAGGAGGAGUCCGCGGCUGAUUAGCUAGUUGGUGGGGUAAUGGCUCACCAAGGCUUCGAUCGGUAGCCGGCCUGAGAGGGCACACGGCCACACUGGCACUGAGACACGGGCCAGACUCCUACGGGAGGCAGCAGUGGGGAAUCUUGCACAAUGGGGGAAACCCUGAUGCAGCGACGCCGCGUGAGCGAUGAAGCCCUUCGGGUGUAAAGCUCUUUCGACGGGAACGAUUAUGACGGUACCCGGAGAAGAAGCUGCGGCUAACUACGUGCCAGCAGCCGCG